AAUUCUCAAAUCACACACCUUUUUUGGUGUUGUGGCUUGGAUAGUUGGGUGUUGCCUAAUUUAAAUUAUUGGGCUCUCCUUAAAUGUAUAAGUUGUGCAUUUAAAAACUUGAUAGGUGUUGUAAAUUAUUAAUACAUCUAUGUUUCUAAAAUACACUGCUCCUAAUAAACCUUAUUGUUGAUGA
This 184-nucleotide unclassified non-coding RNA is filed under the name uncultured Inocybaceae. RNAcentral describes it as "sequence contains ITS2". Lineage: Eukaryota; Fungi; Basidiomycota; Agaricomycetes; Agaricales. The record is from RNAcentral.